CAGUCAUAUGCUUCGUUCAAGGGCUAAGCCAUGCAUGUCUCAGCGCAAACGGUGCUCAACAGUGGGUCUGUGAAUGGCUCCUUACAUCAGCAGUCAUCUACGUGAUAGCGUGUGUUGGCACCGACCCUCGCCAUAGGAACCCAAGGUGCUCAGUUGGACAUCCUCCAAAACCUGGUGGCUAAUACACGCAGGCCCAGGUCGGCCACGGCACGACUGCGCUCAAGUUGCCUCAUCUCGCUUGCGCCAUUUCGGUGGCCGAUAGCACCCAGCCGGGCGUAAGACCAGUGCCUUCAGAAGGCAGCGUGCUUGUGGUUGAUUCAGGCUGGUCCCGAUCGAACCCAUCCGUGGUCGGGGCGGUCACCGUGUGGCGUGCGCGUCCCCUCGGGGGCCCACGUCCCGCGCCCGCCCCGGGGUGGGACAAACCGUGCUGGCAGAGAGUUGGUGCGGCCCUCCCCCCGCGGGGGGGUCGCACGCACUGCUUGAUCACACGAACUUCUGACCUAUCAGCUCUGACUGUGGUGUAGUGGACCACAGUGGCGGUGACGGGUAACGGAGAAUCAGGGUUCGAUUCCGGAGAGGGAGCCUGAGAGACGGCUACCACUACCAAGGUGGGCAGCAGGCGCGCAAAUUGCCCAAUCCAAACACAUCUGGGAGGCAGCGACGAACCGCAGCAAUCCCGCUGGCCUUUCACGCCAGCGGGACUUGGAAUGGAUGCAAUCCAAACACAGUGAUGAGUAUCAACUGGAGGGCAAGUCUGGUGCCAGCAGCUGCGGUAAUUCCAGCUCCAAGGGCGUAUACUAACAUUGCUGCUGUUAAAACACCUGUAGUCUGCCACUGGGUUGCGGGGUCCGCCGGGCGGCCGGCGUUGUGCGGGGUGUCCCCACGGGACCGGCGAGUCGACCUCGGUCGUGCUCCGCCGGGUCCGCUGGGGCCCCCGUGCGCGCUGGGACACAACCCCCGGCGGUAUGGCCCCGCGCCCGCUUCCGUCCAAAGGAUCACCGACGGUGCGACCUGCUCCUGCGGAAAGCCCCCUUCAGUGGGGGCCGACGCGGUAUCACCCCGGACGCUUGUGUGCGACAGCCAGAGUCGGUGGGUGGGGCCCUCCGCCAGCGCCCCACGUGCAUGAGGCCACCGCCUGUGUCCACCUCCGGAGCCCACCGUUAUCGACACUGUGGAAAACCCAGCGUGCCCCAAGCAGCCUCUCGUUAUGACGGCUGAAUGCCCGUCCAUGGAAUGUCAGAGCAUCGACCGAACGAUAAUCACAAACCCCGCCGUCGGCCCGCCCCCGCACUCCCCCCGGGGGGUGCGUGGGGCCCGGCGGUCGGGGCAGGCAUUGGAGUUGUACUGGCCUUGGAGCCCGUUCUUGGGCAAUGUGGUGCGUGCCCCGCACCCGCCGAGGCCGGGACCCUCGGGUUCUCGCGGCCCGUCACUCCCACCCCGUCCGCGGGGUGCGGUGGGACGGUACGCCCCCCGCCCGGCCCUCGCGGGGACCGUGUGGCGCGCAUCGACCGUCCCCGAGGGGACCGUUCAGGGUGAAAGAUACUGCAACGCCAGAGGUGAAAUUCUUAGACCGCUGCAAGAUCGACCGCAGCGAAGGCGUUCUGCAAGCGCGUGUUCGUCGAUCAAGGAUGAGAGUCCGGGGAGCAAAGAUGAUCAGACACCGUCGUAGUCCGGCACCGUAAACCGUGCCAGCCCGGCCUCGGGAGGGACAGUCCAAAGACCCUCCCGGUGCCAGUCCCCCUACAACGAGAAAUCCACAGCCUGUGGGUUCAGGGGGGAGUACGUUCGCAAGGCUGAAACUUAAAGGAAUUGACGGAAUGGCACCACAAGGCGUGGAGUAUGCGGCUUAAUUUGACUCAACACGGGGAAUGUUACCAGGUCAGGACACAGCCGGGAUGGACAGAUUGAGAGCUCUUUCUUGAUCCUGUGGACGGUGGUGCAUGGCCGCUCCUGAUUGGUGGAGUGAUUUGUCUGGUUGAUUCCGAUAACGAGUGAGAUAUCUGCCUCCCAGUAGCCCGGGGCUCGCAUUCGGUAGGGUCGGCCCCCCGGCAUGCCCCCCGUUCGUCCGCCCCCCACGCGUUCGCGCGUGGGUGCGGUGGGGCGGGCGGGGGCGCCCCGGGGCUCCCGAGAGCCUCCCGUGUUUCAAAGCUUCUCUGAGGUGCUGCGUUCGCUGCCAAGAGCGCGCAUGCUAGAGCCAACAGCAGGUCUGUGAUGCUCCCAGAUGUCCUGGGCCGCACGCGCACUACAUUGGUGCAGUGAAGGAGUCACCCGCUCCCUCCGUGGAGCCCUGGCCGGAAGUGGCUGGGAAACCCUGCAAGCCUGCGCCGUACUGGGGAUAGAUGAUUGCAACUGUCUGCCUUGAACGUGGAAUGCCUAGUAUGCCUUGGUCAUCAGCCAAGACCGAUUGCGUCCCUGCCAUUUGUACACACCGCCCGUCGUUGCUACCGAUGACAGCUGGAUAGAACCAUCAGGAGGUCGCCGCCCCCCCUCCGCGGGGGGCCAGCCAAAAUUKGGUGAUGCCCAGCUGUUAGAGGAAGCAAAA
This 2542-nucleotide ribosomal RNA is filed under the name Euglena sanguinea. RNAcentral describes it as "bacterial SSU rRNA". It matches the Rfam family "Eukaryotic small subunit ribosomal RNA". The record is from RNAcentral. Lineage: Eukaryota; Euglenozoa; Euglenophyceae; Euglenales; Euglenaceae.